UGAGUACGAGCUGCUACGGCAGCGAAGUGGGUGACGUCAAGCUUCCAAGAAAAGCCCUAUACCCGUUAGGGCAUGAUGGCCUGUACCCGAAACCGACACAGGUGGGGUGGUAGAGAAUACCGAGGGGCGCGAGAUAACUCUCUCUAAGGAACUCGGCAAAAUGGCCCCGUAACUUCGGGAGAAGGGGUGCCACCCAAGGUAGUCGCAGUGAAGAGGCCCAGGCGACUGUUUACCAAAAACACAGGUCUCCGCUAAGUCGCAAGACGAUGUAUGGGGGCUGACGCCUGCCCAGUGCCGGAAGGUUAAGGAAGCUGGUCAGCGUAAGCGAAGCUAGCGACUGAAGCCCCGGUGAACGGCGGCCGUAACAAUAACGGUCCUAAGGUAGCGAAAUUCCUUGUCGGGUAAGUUCCGACCCGCACGAAAGGCGUAACGAUCUGGGCGCUGUCUCGGAGAGAGGCUCGGCGAAAUAGAAUUGUCUGUGAAGAUGCGGACUACGUGCACCCGGACAGAAAGACCCUAUGAAGCUUUACUGUAGCUUGGUAUUGUGCUCGGGCUCGGAAUGCGCAGGAUAGGUGGGAGGCUAUGAACCAUUGCUUGUGGGUGAUGGUGAGCCGCUGGUGAGAUACCACUCUUUCCGAGCUAGAGUUCUAACAGCCACCCGUUAUCCGGGGGCUGGACAGUAUCAGGUGGGCAGUUUGACUGGGGCGGUCGCCUCCUAAAAGGUAACGGAGGCGCGCAAAGGUUUGCUCAGGCUGGUUGGAAAUCAGCCGACGAGUGUAAAAGCAGAAGCAAGCUUGACUGAGAGACCUACAAGUCGAACAGGGAGGAAACUCGGCUUUAGUGAUCCGACGGUUCUGCGUGGAAGGGCCGUCGCUCAACGGAUAAAAGUUACUCUAAGGAUAACAGGCUGAUCUCCCCCAAGAGUUCACAUCGACGGGGAGGUUUGGCACCUCGAUGUCGGCUCAUCGCAACCUGGGGCUGAAGUCGGUCCCAAGGGUUGGGCUGUUCGCCCAUUAAAGCGGUACGCGAGCUGGGUUCAGAACGUCGUGAGACAGUUCGGUCCAUAUCCGGUGCAUGCGCAGGAAUAUUGAGAGGAUUUCUCCCUAGUACGAGAGGACCGGGAGGAACGCACCUCUGGUGUACCAGUUAUCGUGCCAACGGUAAACGCUGGGUAGCCAUGUGCGGAGAGGAUAACCGCUGAAAGCAUCUAAGUGGGAAGCCCACCUCAAGAUGAGUAUUCCCAUGGGUUAACCCAGUAAGGUCACGGGAAGAACACCCGUUGAUAGGCUCUACGUGGAAGCGCAGUAAUGUGUGAAGCGGAGGAGUACUAAUAGACCGAGGGCUUGACCU
Molecule: ribosomal RNA, 1350 nt
Filed under: metagenome
Description: bacterial LSU rRNA
Rfam family: Bacterial large subunit ribosomal RNA
Source: RNAcentral